UGGUGGGGUGGCCUGUCUGCUUAAUUGCGAUAACGAACGAGACCUUAACCUGCUAAAUAGCCCGCAUUGCUCCGGCAGUGCGCUGGCUUCUUAGAGGGACUUUCGGCUCAAGCCGAAGGAAGUUUGAGGCAAUAACA
RNAcentral lists this ribosomal RNA (137 nucleotides) under uncultured eukaryote. Its description in RNAcentral is "partial 18S ribosomal RNA". It matches the Rfam family "Eukaryotic small subunit ribosomal RNA", at positions 1299 to 1458 of the family's 1831-position model. The record is from RNAcentral.